GGCUUCUUCGCAUUAUAUGCCAUCGAUCCCCACAGUGCGUCAGAUGUGCCGGGUUUGCUUCUCAAGCAACGUGCGAGUGGUUACUAUCAAGUGCGAGUUUAAAUAUUUCCUUCGGCGUUUUUAUGUUCCAGUUGCUGUCAAUGUUUUCGUUUCUCUUGUUCUCUGCACAGCCACGAAACGGACUAAAUGCAACGAACGCGAUAUGAACGCGUGCAAGGAAAUGGGAAUGGAAUGUGAUUUCUCGCUUGGCGCUGCCGUGUGCCUUGACACAAUUCGCACGACAUGCAAUGAACAAGAGAUGAAAAUAUGCAAAUCUAGGAGAAAAAAGUGUGACUUCACAGCGCACGCACCAGUGUGUAUCGAUACAAGCCGUAAGGCUUGCGAUCAGGAGGAGGUUCAAAGAUGUUCAGCCUUCGGCAAGGAGUGCGAAAUGGUGGGAGGGGCGCCCUUGU
This is a long non-coding RNA of Rhipicephalus microplus (southern cattle tick), 452 nucleotides long. The record is from RefSeq and is a predicted model, not a curated record. NCBI's taxonomy places the organism in Eukaryota, Metazoa, Arthropoda, Arachnida, Ixodida, Ixodidae.